RNAcentral lists this ribosomal RNA (253 nucleotides) under uncultured bacterium. Its description in RNAcentral is "partial 16S ribosomal RNA". It matches the Rfam family "Bacterial small subunit ribosomal RNA", at positions 524 to 776 of the family's 1533-position model. The record is from RNAcentral.
UACAGGGGGUGCAAACGUUGCUCGGAAUCAUUGGGCGUAAAGCGCACGUAGGCGGUCUGUUAUGUCGGAUGUGAAAGCCCUUGGCUUAACUGAGGAAGUGCAUCCGAAACUGGCAGGCUAGAGUACUAAAGAGGGUCGCGGAAUUCCCGGUGUAGAGGUGAAAUUCGUAGAUAUCGGGAGGAACACCGGUGGCGAAGGCGGGUCUCUGGACAGUUCCUGACACUGAGACACGAAGGCCAGGGGAGCAAACGGG